RNAcentral lists this ribosomal RNA (660 nucleotides) under uncultured bacterium. Its description in RNAcentral is "bacterial SSU rRNA". It matches the Rfam family "Bacterial small subunit ribosomal RNA", at positions 146 to 792 of the family's 1533-position model. The record is from RNAcentral.
ACACUUGGAAACAGGUGCUAAUACCGUAUAACAACAAAAUCCGCAUGGAUUUUGUUUGAAAGGUGGCUUCGGCUAUCACUUCUGGAUGAUCCCGCGGCGUAUUAGUUAGUUGGUGAGGUAAAGGCCCACCAAGACGAUGAUACGUAGCCGACCUGAGAGGGUAAUCGGCCACAUUGGGACUGAGACACGGCCCAAACUCCUACGGGAGGCAGCAGUAGGGAAUCUUCCACAAUGGACGAAAGUCUGAUGGAGCAAUGCCGCGUGAGUGAAGAAGGGUUUCGGCUCGUAAAACUCUGUUGUUAAAGAAGAACACCUUUGAGAGUAACUGUUCAAGGGUUGACGGUAUUUAACCAGAAAGCCACGGCUAACUACGUGCCAGCAGCCGCGGUAAUACGUAGGUGGCAAGCGUUGUCCGGAUUUAUUGGGCGUAAAGCGAGCGCAGGCGGUUUUUUAAGUCUGAUGUGAAAGCCUUCGGCUUAACCGGAGAAGUGCAUCGGAAACUGGGAGGCUUGAGUGCAGAAGAGGACAGUGGAACUCCAUGUGUAGCGGUGGAAUGCGUAGAUAUAUGGAAGAACACCAGUGGCGAAGGCGGCUGUCUAGUCUGUAACUGACGCUGAGGCUCGAAAGCAUGGGUAGCGAACAGGAUUAGAUACCCUGGUA